Molecule: long non-coding RNA, 447 nt
Filed under: Homo sapiens (human)
Lineage: Eukaryota; Metazoa; Chordata; Mammalia; Primates; Hominidae
Description: HSALNT0259842
Rfam family: Small nucleolar RNA U3 (bases 281-377)
Source: RNAcentral
CUCUGUCAUCCAGGCUGGAGUGAGGUGGCAUGAGCUCGGCUCACUGCUACCUCCACUUCCCAGGUUCAAGUGAUUCUCAUGCCUCAGCCUCACCAGUAGCGAGAUUACAGAUGUGCACCACCACACUCAGGUCCACCCUUUACCUUUCUCCACUCUACUAUGUGCCCAGGAGGCUGGCCUGUGUAGAUUACAUCAGUGGACUCACCUCUUGGCUUUGGAUGAGGACUUAGAAGAUUUUCUUUGCUCCCAGGAGAUGAAUAAGAAACAAAAUGGCAUUCUCAAGACUAUACUUUCAGGGAUCAUUUCUAUAGUUUGUUACUAGAGAAGUUUCUCUGAACGUGUAGAGCACCGAGGCAUGGGCAAGGACUUCAUGUCCAAAACACCAAAAGCAAUGGCAACAAAAGCCAAAAUUGACAAAUGGGAUCUAAUUAAACUAAAGAGCUUCUG